This is a long non-coding RNA of Uranotaenia lowii, 1020 nucleotides long. RefSeq lists it as uncharacterized. The record is from RefSeq and is a predicted model, not a curated record. The transcript is spliced from 3 exons. NCBI's taxonomy places the organism in Eukaryota, Metazoa, Arthropoda, Insecta, Diptera, Culicidae.
AAUACAUAAAGAAAUCGCAGCGCAAAUAUUCGUGACCCGGAAAAGUUUGCGCUUGAAUGUUGGCUACACUUCGGCUGUCAAUCACAACACUUCCGGGGAAAAAGUCGUGCAAAGUGGUGGAGGAAGCCGCAGCAAUUUUCGCGUGCAUCAAAACGCUGAAGAUUUCGCUCCACCACUGAGCAACGAGAAUCCGGUGCGGCUAGCACUCGAAAGUGCGGAAAAAAGGGGCCGAAUUAAACGGCUUGGAGGAAGCUCGUGGACACGUGAUUCCUGGCGGUGUUAAAGAAGCCGGCAAUUAUACGCCCACUGCCGGAAAACACACCCAGAAAGCGGGUAAUCAGAGGCCAGUUUGCCAAAGCACCAGCAAAGCCAGAGGAAAGGGGUCAAACAUCUUUUCCAUCCGCAUGAUUGCGAGGAGAGCAUCUGCUUUCCUUUGGCGAUUUGGAUAAAAAUUGGCAUUCUGGCAGCUCAGGAAAAACCUUUCUCCAGGACGGCAUCCCAUAAUUUGCAUAUGAAAACAUCCAGCUGGGAACGGCCUGAAUCGUGCCGUCGUUACGGACAACAUCCACUUUCUGCUGGAGGACAAGGCUGCUGUGGUAGGUAGUAGUUCCAGUCCAUAUGUUUAGUUAGCCUUUUGUGUAAUGUUUAGGGUUCAAAUAAAUUUAUCAUGAUGAAUAUUUUUGUUAUUAUUUACUAAGUGUACCGAAAGUCCUUAAAUUAAAUAAAGUACAAUCUAUCGACCAACCGAUUCCAUCAUCGCCAAUACGCGAUCUCAAAUGACAUUAAGUUUAAAUACUAAUUAUUACAGUGGCAAUGAACUAUUGCUGGAAUGGUCGAGAGGCUGGUAAGUUUCAUGGCAACCAAGAGAGCAGCGGUUCAAUUCUCGUAAGGGUAAGUAGCUUUUGUAAUAAAAAAAAAGUUAAUUAAAAUUGAAAUCAAUGAGAUAGACCAUGAUAGACCGGCAAUCUAGCAAUCUGUCAUCUGGCUGUCAGAGCAAUCUGACAACUGGAUUUUUUUUUC